RNAcentral lists this non-coding RNA (28 nucleotides) under Rattus norvegicus (Norway rat). The record is from RNAcentral. Lineage: Eukaryota; Metazoa; Chordata; Mammalia; Rodentia; Muridae.
CCCCCAGAUGCUAAUGGAUCUUGUGAGA